GGGUUGUGAGGUUAAGCGACUAAGCGUACACGGUGGAUGCCCUGGCAGUCAGAGGCGAUGAAGGACGUGCUAAUCUGCGAAAAGCGUCGGUAAGGUGAUAUGAACCGUUAUAACCGGCGAUGUCCGAAUGGGGAAACCCAGUGCAAUUCGUUGCACUAUCGUUAACUGAAUACAUAGGUUAACGAGGCGAACCGGGGGAACUGAAACAUCUAAGUACCCCGAGGAAAAGAAAUCAACCGAGAUUCCCCCAGUAGCGGCGAGCGAACGGGGAGCAGCCCAGAGUCUGAAUCAGCUUGUGUGUUAGUGGAACGGUCUGGAAAGUCCGACGGUACAGGGUGAUAGUCCCGUACACCAAAAUGCACAGGCUGUGAACUCGAAGAGUAGGGCGGGACACGUGGUAUCCUGUCUGAAUAUGGGGGGACCAUCCUCCAAGGCUAAAUACUCCUGACUGACCGAUAGUGAACCAGUACCGUGAGGGAAAGGCGAAAAGAACCCCGGCGAGGGGAGUGAAAAAGAACCUGAAACCGUGUACGUACAAGCAGUGGGAGCACCUUCGGGUGUGACUGCGUACCUUUUGUAUAAUGGGUCAGCGACUUAUAUUCUGUAGCAAGGUUAACCGUAUAGGGGAGCCGCAGGGAAACCGAGUCUUAACUGGGCGUUAAGUUGCAGGGUAUAGACCCGAAACCCGGUGAUCUAGCCAUGGGCAGGUUGAAGGUUGGGUAACACUAACUGGAGGACCGAACCGACUAAUGUUGAAAAAUUAGCGGAUGACUUGUGGCUGGGGGUGAAAGGCCAAUCAAACCGGGAGAUAGCUGGUUCUCCCCGAAAGCUAUUUAGGUAGCGCCUCGUGAACUCAUCUUCGGGGGUAGAGCACUGUUUCGGCUAGGGGGUCAUCCCGACUUACCAACCCGAUGCAAACUACGAAUACCGAAGAAUGUUAUCACGGGAGACACACGGCGGGUGCUAACGUCCGUCGUGAAGAGGGAAACAACCCAGACCGCCAGCUAAGGUCCCAAAGUCAUGGUUAAGUGGGAAACGAUGUGGGAAGGCACAGACAGCCAGGAUGUUGGCUUAGAAGCAGCCAUCAUUUAAAGAAAGCGUAAUAGCUCACUGGUCGAGUCGGCCUGCGCGGAAGAUGUAACGGGGCUAAACCAUGCACCGAAGCUGCGGCAGCGACACUAUGUGUUGUUGGGUAGGGGAGCGUUCUGUAAGCCUGCGAAGGUGUGCUGUGAGGCAUGCUGGAGGUAUCAGAAGUGCGAAUGCUGACAUAAGUAACGAUAAAGCGGGUGAAAAGCCCGCUCGCCGGAAGACCAAGGGUUCCUGUCCAACGUUAAUCGGGGCAGGGUGAGUCGACCCCUAAGGCGAGGCCGAAAGGCGUAGUCGAUGGGAAACAGGUUAAUAUUCCUGUACUUGGUGUUACUGCGAAGGGGGGACGGAGAAGGCUAUGUUAGCCGGGCGACGGUUGUCCCGGUUUAAGCAUGUAGGCUGGUUAUCCAGGCAAAUCCGGAUAAUCAAGGCUGAGGUGUGAUGACGAGGCACUACGGUGCUGAAGUAACAAAUGCCCUGCUUCCAGGAAAAGCCUCUAAGCAUCAGGUAACAUCAAAUCGUACCCCAAACCGACACAGGUGGUCAGGUAGAGAAUACCAAGGCGCUUGAGAGAACUCGGGUGAAGGAACUAGGCAAAAUGGUGCCGUAACUUCGGGAGAAGGCACGCUGGUGUGUAGGUGAAGUCCCUGCGGAUGGAGCUGAGACCAGUCGAAGAUACCAGCUGGCUGCAACUGUUUAUUAAAAACACAGCACUGUGCAAACACGAAAGUGGACGUAUACGGUGUGACGCCUGCCCGGUGCCGGAAGGUUAAUUGAUGGGGUUAUCCGUAAGGAGAAGCUCUUGAUCGAAGCCCCGGUAAACGGCGGCCGUAACUAUAACGGUCCUAAGGUAGCGAAAUUCCUUGUCGGGUAAGUUCCGACCUGCACGAAUGGCGUAAUGAUGGCCAGGCUGUCUCCACCCGAGACUCAGUGAAAUUGAACUCGCUGUGAAGAUGCAGUGUACCCGCGGCAAGACGGAAAGACCCCGUGAACCUUUACUAUAGCUUGACACUGAACAUUGAGCCUUGAUGUGUAGGAUAGGUGGGAGGCUUUGAAGCGUGGACGCCAGUCUGCGUGGAGCCAACCUUGAAAUACCACCCUUUAAUGUUUGAUGUUCUAACGUUGGCCCCUGACCGGGGUUGCGGACAGUGUCUGGUGGGUAGUUUGACUGGGGCGGUCUCCUCCCAAAGCGUAACGGAGGAGCACGAAGGUUAGCUAAUCCUGGUCGGACAUCAGGAGGUUAGUGCAAUGGCAUAAGCUAGCUUGACUGCGAGCGUGACGGCGCGAGCAGGUGCGAAAGCAGGUCAUAGUGAUCCGGUGGUUCUGAAUGGAAGGGCCAUCGCUCAACGGAUAAAAGGUACUCCGGGGAUAACAGGCUGAUACCGCCCAAGAGUUCAUAUCGACGGCGGUGUUUGGCACCUCGAUGUCGGCUCAUCACAUCCUGGGGCUGAAGUAGGUCCCAAGGGUAUGGCUGUUCGCCAUUUAAAGUGGUACGCGAGCUGGGUUUAGAACGUCGUGAGACAGUUCGGUCCCUAUCUGCCGUGGGCGCUGGAGAAUUGAGGGGGGCUGCUCCUAGUACGAGAGGACCGGAGUGGACGCAUCACUGGUGUUCGGGUUGUCAUGCCAAUGGCACUGCCCGGUAGCUAAAUGCGGAAGAGAUAAGUGCUGAAAGCAUCUAAGCACGAAACUUGCCCCGAGAUGAGUUCUCCCUGAGAC
Molecule: ribosomal RNA, 2802 nt
Filed under: Klebsiella pneumoniae
Lineage: Bacteria; Pseudomonadati; Pseudomonadota; Gammaproteobacteria; Enterobacterales; Enterobacteriaceae
Description: bacterial LSU rRNA
Rfam family: Bacterial large subunit ribosomal RNA
Source: RNAcentral